Molecule: long non-coding RNA, 1259 nt
Organism: Leguminivora glycinivorella
Lineage: Eukaryota; Metazoa; Arthropoda; Insecta; Lepidoptera; Tortricidae
Exons: 3
Source: RefSeq, a predicted model, not a curated record
GGCGUUUUAAACCAGCAUUUCAGCUUCACUGGCUGGUCGGAUUCUUGCGGAUUUAAACGGAGAAUUCUUAAUAGCAGUGUUGUACCCUUGUUGAUGCUUUGCGAUAUGACUUAAAUCAUAUGCGUGAACGUUGGCGUUCUUUUGUGUUGUCGGACCGACAGACUUGCGUCGCCUGAGACGCGGUCUGUACAGUCAACCCUUGUACUUAUGUCUAAUGUUGUGUCGAAACGUUCCGUCUUGUGUCGUACAUAGACGCAGCCGGUAUAUACGCUUCGUUGUUCUGGUGUUAUUGUCUGUUCUUUGUAUUCUUAGCUGUCACCGAUAUUUGUUAGGGAAAUUUCAUUUAGCUAUAAGCCGUCUUCCGUUAUAUCGCUUGGACGUACAGCCCGCUGUCUGGUAUAGCUCGCUGUGCCGCCAAGAAAUAUAGACGAUGCGACGUAAUGUAGUAAUUUACCUAAAAAAAAAGGGGCUAUUCUUAUCUGGUUUAGUGCGUGGGUUCGAUUUGGAUGGUUUUUUUUGUUAUCGAUUAUAGAUUUCGAGUUGUAGCUGUUAUAUUACCCAUAUUUCCUGUAGUUUGGAGCUGGGGACCAGCUCAAAAUUUUGCCUGCGUCAAAAUUUUCUCUGGGGAGGGGAGUACUGUAACAAUAUUUUUUCAAACCUCGUAGGUAUAUUUUUAUUUAGCUGAUAUUAUACUCAAGUAACUAUUGGUUUCGUACAGGCAGAGCCAUCUAUCGGCAGGAUUGUAUUGAUAACCCAGUUUGCUGUUAGCUAGAAUGACAAAAGAUGGCGUGUCGAUCGUCGUUAAUUUAUUUCCUUCCAAAAUCCCUUUUGAAUUUUCAUUUAUUAAAAAUAAAACUCAAUUUAUUAUUGUAUUGUUAGUUUUCGUUCCUUUUUGGAAAUAUUUUAUUACCCUCUUUAAGACAGAAGUUAAAGUUGUUGUCUAUAGGCGAAUGCAUCUCGUCACGUAUCUGUGGGCCGAGCUGUCAGCCGACACUUUGCAUAUUGGAAAGGAUGUAGACGGGUGGUUUUCAAAUUCUUCAGGGCCAAUGCGCCACAUUCUAAUUUUUAAAUCGCGAAUUAAUCGCAUAAUCAUGAUUUUAAUUUUAUAAAAUUACUGAGGACCCCUUCCAUUGACAUGAUUGCACGGAACCACAAGCCGGCUUCUUUUCUGGAAUGGGUCCUCAGAUUUGGAGGUUAACGUUCGAAGACAGAGCAGAGCUGAUGCUUCCCGAGCCUGGACCGGUGGACAGGAGGCUGUG